UAGGAGGUAGUAUAAUUAUGGUAAAACAAAGAAUUUUGAUUUCUUGGAUAUGAGUUCAAUUCUCGUCUUUCUAG
Molecule: transfer RNA, 74 nt
Filed under: Anthenea aspera
Lineage: Eukaryota; Metazoa; Echinodermata; Asteroidea; Valvatida; Oreasteridae
Description: tRNA-Gln
Rfam family: tRNA
About the family: Transfer RNA (tRNA) molecules are approximately 80 nucleotides in length. Their secondary structure includes four short double-helical elements and three loops (D, anti-codon, and T loops).
Source: RNAcentral